CCUACGGGUGGCAGCAGUGAGGAAUAUUGGUCAAUGGGCGUAAGCCUGAACCAGCCAAGUCGCGUGAGGGAUGAAGGUUCUAUGGAUCGUAAACCUCUUUUAUAAGGGAAUAAAGGGUGGGACGUGUCCUAUUUUGUAUGUACCUUAUGAAUAAGGAUCGGCUAACUUCGUGCCAGCAGCCGCGGUAAUACGGAGGAUCCGAGCGUUAUCCGGAUUUAUUGGGUUUAAAGGGUGCGGAGGCGGCCUUUUAAGUCAGCGGUGAAAGUCUGUGGCUCAACCAUAGAAUUGAAGUUGAAACUGGGGGGCUUGAGUGUGUUUGAGGCAGGCGGAAUGCGUGGUGUAGCGGUGAAAUGCUUAGAUAUCACGCAGAACCCCGAUUGCGAAGGCAGCCUGCCAAGCCAUGACUGACGCUGAUGCACGAAAGCGUGGGGAUCAAACAGGACUAGAUACCCUUGUAGUC
This 460-nucleotide ribosomal RNA is filed under the name uncultured bacterium. RNAcentral describes it as "partial 16S ribosomal RNA". It matches the Rfam family "Bacterial small subunit ribosomal RNA", at positions 338 to 795 of the family's 1533-position model. The record is from RNAcentral.